This 2823-nucleotide long non-coding RNA is filed under the name Paramuricea clavata. The record is from RNAcentral. Lineage: Eukaryota; Metazoa; Cnidaria; Anthozoa; Malacalcyonacea; Plexauridae.
UUUUUAGAGUCUUCACAGACUGUCAGCUGUGUCAAGACCGAUCAGUUUGAAGGCAAAUAGUAGAGAAAGGACUCGAAGAGAUGCCAAGCAAUCGGAAGUAAAAAUGACAGAGGACAAAUGCAGAACGUCAGCAGCAUUAUAGACCUUAACUCGAUUGCUAACCAUCUGAAUUCAAGUCGCACUAGAACCAAUAAUCAGUGCACAACAGUGACAAAACCACAGUGAUUACUAAUCUGCAUUGUAGACUUUAACUCAUUCAUUUGCAAACUAUGAGCAUUGAUCAACUAAUUCUGUUUAUUCCAAAUUUGGAAGAUUGUUAAGUCACAACAGAUGCAGCACCAGAGACAAUAUUCAAUCCACAUCGCCACAGUCUUGACAGUGUUGGAAACACCAAAGGAAGAUAACCUAUCAUCAUCAUCGGAUUCUAUUGAAUGUGCCAAGUUGGGAUACAAGAACCUGUCAAACCACAUCAGACAGUACUAAGACACUAACCAUGGAAAUGAAGAAUGCUUUCUAGUUUGCAUAAAGUAGUUGCUCAGGAAAACACCAUCAUUACACAAGGUAUAUAUAAUAUAUAUUCUUCUGCAAUUUGUAAUGUGAUUUUGUAUACCAUAAACCUCCGAAUAUAAGCUCCCCCGUGUACUGUAUAAGCCCACCACAACACUCGCCUCAUUCCAAAUAUAAGCCACUUCCCCCUUCCCCGAAUAUAAGCCCAUUUGUUUAUCACUAUUAAUCACUAUUAUUACUGUGCUUAACACUUGUUUAUCAUUAUUACUAUACUUGUUUAUCACUAUUACAGUACACUAACACAAAAGAUCGUCCAUGUAUAAGCCCCCGUAUAUAAACCUCUCCCUUGUAUAAUCCCAUCAAAAAUCGCAUAUGAAAGAAUAUAAGCCCGAGGCUUAUAGUCGGAGGUUUACGGUAUGCCUUUGCAGGCUUCACCCACUUGGCUUAUGUAGUUGUAAAGACUGUUCACAUGGGAAUAGAAUAAGAAAGUUAGGAAACUUGAUGCAGACAUAAUGGACUUCAUUAUCUACAUGUUUUUGUCUUGGUUUAUGCAAGAAAUGAUCGGUUCAUCGUCACCUGUGUAUUGUAUUUUUGCUAAAGCAACCAAAAGCUACUGCCAUUUGCGUUCAAGCUUGAAGCGUGCAAAAAUGUUCAGGUUUAUUUACGUUUCAAAUGUAACGUUUCAAAGGAUAUCACGCCCGUUUGGCCGAUAAAAUUGAAUCGUUUGGAAAUAUAAAAAUAUUGAUUGUGGAAGAAUAUACUUUUAUUCUUGUAUUCUCGUGAUUCUACAGUAAAUACUAUACAAUCAAUUAUUUACAUUUUGUAGCUGAAUUAAUGUAAUGUUUACAACAUGAGCGGCCGUGUUGUAUCGGAUAUACAAACUCGAGCCGAUUAGGCGAGAGUUUGUAUAUCCGAUUUACACGGACGCGAAUGUUGUAAACAACUUUAAAAACUGCUCAUCUUAUGAGUUCAUUGGCAAAGUAAUUUUAAAAAUAAACGUUGUCUAAGCCGAGAAAAUCAAAGUUAAAGUUUAUGUAAAUCAACAUGAAUCUGUAUCACAUAUACAGAUACGACACGCUUAUGAUUUUUCUUUGUGUUUUCUUCAUGAAUUAUUAACGAGUUUUUUAAUAGGGAUUUACAGCACAAAAAUGUACAAACGUCAUUGGAAUUCAAACAAAACAUGACAUAUUAUGUAACGAAUAAUAACCGUUGCAUGGUUCAAACGACCGGUUUUGUUGGUCAAAAGGGUGUGAUUACCCCCUGGAACAUUGCGUUUAAAACAUAAACAAACGUGAAAAAAUUUGCACGCUUCAAGCUUGAACGCAAAUGGAAGUAGUUAUGUUUUCAUUGUUUUCAACCAUUGUGUAAUAUCACAACUGCAUGGGUAAUUAAACCAAUUAAUAAUGCUAUUAUUGGUUGGUCGGGCAAGAAAACAUGACCAGCUAAACAGAGAGUUAUGAAGUGGAGAGUUACUGUAUCUCGGAGAGUUAUGUUCAAACCACACCCACUUUUCCCAAUGACCACACCCAAUUUCUUAACUCUCCCCGUCUCCCGACGUUUCCUUGAACUAACAUGAGGGAGUUAUGUUUUACACAACUCUCUCUCUCUCGUUAACAUUAUGAAAAUGUUAGAGAGUUGUCAUUUUUAUAACUCUCCGCGUUCAUGAUUGCAUCAUGUGGCAAUGAAGAGAGUUAAGUCUUGAUGACUUGAAGUGUAUGCAGCGGACAAAGUAACAUAUGACUAUAUAUGGCUUAAUAAGUUAGUUCCGAUUCCGGCCAGAACUUUUUUCCAGUUCCGGUCGGAUCCGGUUCCAGCCGGAACUUAAAAAACUGGUUCUGGUGCACCCCUAAGAAUAUUUAUAUUAAUUUGCAGGCAAAUACAAGACUAUCGGUACUGCAUAUAAUGAAAAUAAGUAUUUUAUCACUAUGAUAAUUCUCGGUUGAAGCCAUGUAAUUAAAUACUUCUUAUUACCUCCAAUUUAGAUUCUCGCUGGUCAUGACAACUACUGGUUGUAUCCGAAAGAAAGUGGGGCCAUGGAUGCUGGUCGAGUUCUAAACAGGGACCAUCAUGAGGACGUCCAAAUGCACAAAACUAAUUUCGUAUGUGGCAUCUUUAAUAUAAUUUCACUUUAUUUUUGAGAAGAAAUUUCACCAAAAUUUUAACAGUGAAGCUUAGUGGUGGCUGUGGAUACUUUUGGUAUAUUAUGUACUUUAAUGGAUUAUAAUAAACAUUUAUGGAUUACUAAGGAUAUUUAUUACCAUGAACAUGUCCGGACAUAUGUACCUCUAUAUCAACGGUUACCCACAGACAUCGAUG